Molecule: non-coding RNA, 118 nt
Organism: Pelobates cultripes (western spadefoot toad)
Lineage: Eukaryota; Metazoa; Chordata; Amphibia; Anura; Pelobatidae
Source: the annotation of a GenBank genome assembly
AUAGUCCUAUAUUUACAACGUCAUGCCUGCUUUUAUGAGAAUAUAUAUAUAUAUAUAUAUAUAUAUAUAUAUAUAUAUUCUCAUAAAAGCAGGCAUGACGUUGUAAAUAUAGGACUUG